GAUGAACGCUGGCGGCGUGCUUAACACAUGCAAGUCGAACGGUGAAGGCGGAGCUUGCUCUGCUGGAUCAGUGGCGAACGGGUGAGUAACACGUGAGCAAUCUGCCCCUGACUCUGUGAUAAGCGCUGGAAACGGCGUCUAAUACUGGAUACGAGCUGCGAAGGCAUCUUCAGCAGCUGGAAAGAAUUUCGGUCAGGGAUGAGCUCGCGGCCUAUCAGCUUGUUGGUGGGGUAAUGACUCACCAAGGCGUCGACGGGUAGCGGGCCUGAGAAGGUGACCGGCCAAACUGGGACUGAGACACGGCCCAGAAUCCUACGGGAGGGAUCAGUGCGGAAUAGUGCAAAAUGGGCGAAAGCCUGAUGCAGCAUCGCCGCGUGAGGGAUGACGGCCUUCGGGUUGUAAACCUCUUUUAGCAGGGAAGAAGCGAAAGUGACGGUACCUGCAGAAAAAGCGCCGGCUAACUACGUG
RNAcentral lists this ribosomal RNA (468 nucleotides) under uncultured bacterium. Its description in RNAcentral is "partial 16S ribosomal RNA". It matches the Rfam family "Bacterial small subunit ribosomal RNA", at positions 28 to 507 of the family's 1533-position model. The record is from RNAcentral.